UUAAUAACCUGUAAACGAGCUGAAUCUGAAGGUCUGAGUGAAAUAGCACUUUUGGAACUGUACUUUUUGUCAUAACACGCUGAGGAAAGUGCAGAAGCUCUGUAUAUGCAUGUAUGAGAGGGAUUCAUGCCACGCAUAUGACAAUUUGCAUACUAGACUCUGGUGACAAAGAGGGACCGCAGGUGAAUCCCCAGCGAUCUGCUUUGUGGAGAGGAUUUUUUCCAGCCCCUAAUCACAGAGAAGUAUCCAGCUCUCCAUCUGCUUCCCAGAGUUGGCGGUUCUGAUUUGUUUCAAGUGAAAAUAACCAAGAAUAGAAAAUGGCACGUAAUAAAGAGUCCCAAGCCAAGCAGCCGCGUUGUCCUAUUCUUCUCUUUAAACCAGCACUCCCCCCCGUGCUGAGGGCUCGGUGCCCGGACGACAGACAGGGCUGCAAAGGGUUAAGCCGCUGAUUGCUUGGUAGGCAAAGUUUGAGGAAGAAUAUGUUUGAGGCUGAGUACGCUGCAGCCCGGCGUUUGAAAUCUGUCACCCUCACUUACGAGCACUGCAUCUGUGGUUGUCACCCGUGAAUAAUGAUCGCACGGCGAUAAGAUCGCUCUGCGGCGGUGCGCCGGGGCCGUCGGGGGAAGAAAAGGAAAUUACGAGGCGUUUAGCCUCUUCAGCGGGGUGUUCUUCAGUGUCAUCGGUGGGUGUCAGGGUCAAAUGACCGGCUGGAAAGCAGCUUGGGAAGAAAAUUUCCUUCCUCCUUUCUUUGAGAGAAACCUUCGGUGAUGGUGAUCAGUGACAGCUAUGGAAAACAGAGACCUCGGUGGUGAACCUUAGAAACAGUACCAUGCCGGAGCCCAGCUGUUCUGCCACUUUCUCCCCUUUCAACCUGCCGGACCCAGUGGGCUUUGGGUGACCUACCAAGGAGGACCCAUCUCCACAGGAGCAGAGGACAGAAAAAAAAAAAAAAAACAAGAAAGAAAGAAACCCCAAGACCAAGCGUAGCCGCGGUCCCUUCUGGUUUAUUUUUUUACCGGAGAAGGAGGAACGGCAGGGGGAAGAGAGAGCGAGGAGAGGAGAGAAAGUGCGUUGGGGAUGCCAGAGCCGUGGGCUGCGCGCCGGAGGAGGAGGUGGCGGAUCAGGGGGGAGGACGAUGCCGCCGCCUCGUAAGGGCGGAGGAAGGCGCGGGAGGCGCGGGGGUCGCUCGGAGCGGAGGCUGCCGGUGGGGCACGGGCCCACGGGGCCGGCCGGGAGCGCACCGGCGGAGGGAGGCGAAGGCCUACCACCGAAGAGCGGCGGCCGCAAAGUUUUGGUGUGAGGGGCCAGAGGCGCAGAGGGGGAUUACGAUCGGUGCCGGCGAGGGAUUCCCAGACGCCGCCAGGUACAGUUGGGCUUUCAUUUCUCUCUCUUUUCCUUCCUGGUAA
This 1406-nucleotide long non-coding RNA is filed under the name Manacus vitellinus (golden-collared manakin). RNAcentral's name for it is "lncRNA (ENSMVIG00005004605.1)". Lineage: Eukaryota; Metazoa; Chordata; Aves; Passeriformes; Pipridae. The record is from RNAcentral.